AUGGGCAACAAGCAGACAGUCUUCACACACGAGCAGCUGGAAGCGUAUCAGGACUGCACAUUUUUCACAAGGAAGGAGAUCAUGAGAUUUUAACAACGACGACUACAUUUGUGCGUGGGACCUGGAGCAGACGGUGACCAAACUGACGCGGGGGGAGCUGAGCGCUGAGGAGGUGAGCCUGGUAUGUGAGAAGGUGCUGGAUGAGGCUGAUGGAGACCAUGAUGGGCGGCUGUCCCUGGAAGAUUUCCAGAACAUGAUCCUCCGGGCACCAGACUUCCUCAGCACCUUCCACAUCCGAAUCUGAUGGCACCACAGAGGAGCCGAGCUAUAGGAGGGCGGGGUGACCCCUCACCC
RNAcentral lists this small RNA (354 nucleotides) under Pan troglodytes (chimpanzee). Its description in RNAcentral is "processed transcript". Lineage: Eukaryota; Metazoa; Chordata; Mammalia; Primates; Hominidae. The record is from RNAcentral.